Non-coding RNA from Myotis brandtii (Brandt's bat), 73 nucleotides. The record is from Rfam. Lineage: Eukaryota; Metazoa; Chordata; Mammalia; Chiroptera; Vespertilionidae.
GCCAGUGGGGCUCAGUGGGUAGAGCGUCCGCCUGCAGAUGGAAGGGCCCCUGGUUCGAUUCCGGUCAAGGGCA